RNAcentral lists this ribosomal RNA (673 nucleotides) under Escherichia coli UMEA 3172-1. RNAcentral describes it as "bacterial SSU rRNA". It matches the Rfam family "Bacterial small subunit ribosomal RNA", at positions 847 to 1520 of the family's 1533-position model. The record is from RNAcentral. RNAcentral also lists the same sequence under 1 other name. Lineage: Bacteria; Pseudomonadati; Pseudomonadota; Gammaproteobacteria; Enterobacterales; Enterobacteriaceae.
CGGAGCUAACGCGUUAAGUCGACCGCCUGGGGAGUACGGCCGCAAGGUUAAAACUCAAAUGAAUUGACGGGGGCCCGCACAAGCGGUGGAGCAUGUGGUUUAAUUCGAUGCAACGCGAAGAACCUUACCUGGUCUUGACAUCCACGGAAGUUUUCAGAGAUGAGAAUGUGCCUUCGGGAACCGUGAGACAGGUGCUGCAUGGCUGUCGUCAGCUCGUGUUGUGAAAUGUUGGGUUAAGUCCCGCAACGAGCGCAACCCUUAUCCUUUGUUGCCAGCGGUCCGGCCGGGAACUCAAAGGAGACUGCCAGUGAUAAACUGGAGGAAGGUGGGGAUGACGUCAAGUCAUCAUGGCCCUUACGACCAGGGCUACACACGUGCUACAAUGGCGCAUACAAAGAGAAGCGACCUCGCGAGAGCAAGCGGACCUCAUAAAGUGCGUCGUAGUCCGGAUUGGAGUCUGCAACUCGACUCCAUGAAGUCGGAAUCGCUAGUAAUCGUGGAUCAGAAUGCCACGGUGAAUACGUUCCCGGGCCUUGUACACACCGCCCGUCACACCAUGGGAGUGGGUUGCAAAAGAAGUAGGUAGCUUAACCUUCGGGAGGGCGCUUACCACUUUGUGAUUCAUGACUGGGGUGAAGUCGUAACAAGGUAACCGUAGGGGAACCUGCGGUUG